AAGACUAUCAAACUCCGAAUGCCGUCAUCUUAUACUUGGGAGUCAGACUGUGGGUGAUAAGAUUCAUAGUCGAAAGGGCAACAGCCCAGAUCGUCAGCUAAGGUCCCUAAAUGUAAGUUAAGGGGUAAAGGAUGUGGGAUUGCACAGACAACCAGGAUGUUGGCUUAGAAGCAGCCACUCAUUCAAAGAGUGCGUAAUAGCUCACUGGUCGAGUGAUCCU
This 220-nucleotide ribosomal RNA is filed under the name Clostridioides difficile. RNAcentral's name for it is "partial 23S ribosomal RNA". It matches the Rfam family "Bacterial large subunit ribosomal RNA", at positions 942 to 1160 of the family's 2925-position model. Lineage: Bacteria; Bacillati; Bacillota; Clostridia; Peptostreptococcales; Peptostreptococcaceae. The record is from RNAcentral.